RNAcentral lists this small nucleolar RNA (106 nucleotides) under Gossypium hirsutum (cotton). Its description in RNAcentral is "Plant small nucleolar RNA R71". It matches the Rfam family "Plant small nucleolar RNA R71". From Rfam's summary of the family: R71 is a member of the C/D box family of snoRNAs containing the C (UGAUGA) and D (CUGA) box motifs. The record is from Rfam by way of RNAcentral. Lineage: Eukaryota; Viridiplantae; Streptophyta; Magnoliopsida; Malvales; Malvaceae.
AAUCUGUGGUAUGGGAAUUUCUAAAUCAACGUCUUAAAAUGCUCCCAUACUUCAUGAAUACUUUCCCCUCUAAUUGUUUAAACAUAGAACUUUCUAUUGUUAGAAU